GACCCCGUAGCUCAGUGGUAGAGCAACGGCCUUUUAAGCCGUGGGUCGCUGGUUCGAUCCCAGCCGGGGUCACCC
RNAcentral lists this transfer RNA (75 nucleotides) under Chlorobiota bacterium. Its description in RNAcentral is "Chlorobi bacterium (hot springs metagenome) tRNA-Lys". It matches the Rfam family "tRNA". From Rfam's summary of the family: Transfer RNA (tRNA) molecules are approximately 80 nucleotides in length. Their secondary structure includes four short double-helical elements and three loops (D, anti-codon, and T loops). Further hydrogen bonds mediate the characteristic L-shaped molecular structure. tRNAs have two regions of fundamental functional importance: the anti-codon, which is responsible for specific mRNA codon recognition, and the 3' end, to which the tRNAs corresponding amino acid is attached (by aminoacyl-tRNA synthetases). tRNAs cope with the degeneracy of the genetic code in two manners: having more than one tRNA (with a specific anti-codon) for a particular amino acid; and 'wobble' base-pairing, i.e. permitting non-standard base-pairing at the 3rd anti-codon position. The record is from RNAcentral. Lineage: Bacteria; Pseudomonadati; Chlorobiota.